Molecule: transfer RNA, 67 nt
Filed under: Staphylinidae sp. BMNH 1274216
Lineage: Eukaryota; Metazoa; Arthropoda; Insecta; Coleoptera; Staphylinidae
Description: tRNA-Phe
Source: RNAcentral
ACUUAAAUAGCUUAUAUUUAGAGCAUAAUAUUGAAGAUAUUAGGGGGAUAAUUUUUAUCUUUAAGUA